GACGAACGCUGGCGGCGUGCUUAACACAUGCAAGUCGAACGGAAAGGCCCUGCUUUUGUGCGGUGGUCGAGUGGCGAACGGGGGAGUAACACGUGAGUAACCUGUCCCUGACCGUGGGGUAUCUUCAGGAAACUGGGGCUCUUACCGGAUAGGAGCUCUUGCUGCAUGGUGGGGGUUGGAUAGAUUCGGUGGUUGGGGAUGGAAUCGCGGCCUAUCAGCUUGUUGGUGGGGUAGUGGCUUACCAAGGCUUUGACGGGUAGCCGGCCUGAGAGGGUGACCGGCCACAUUGGGACUGAGAUACGGCCCAGACUCCUACGGGAGGCAGCAGUGGGGAAUAUUACACAAUGGGCGGAAGCCUGAUGCAGCAACGCCGCGUGCGGGAUGACGGCCUUCGGGUUGUAAACCGCUUUCGCCUGUCACGAAGCGUGAGUGACGGUAACGGGUAAAGAAGCACCGGCUAACUACGUG
This 468-nucleotide ribosomal RNA is filed under the name uncultured bacterium. Its description in RNAcentral is "partial 16S ribosomal RNA". It matches the Rfam family "Bacterial small subunit ribosomal RNA", at positions 28 to 507 of the family's 1533-position model. The record is from RNAcentral.